Molecule: ribosomal RNA, 117 nt
Filed under: Danio rerio (zebrafish)
Lineage: Eukaryota; Metazoa; Chordata; Actinopteri; Cypriniformes; Danionidae
Source: RNAcentral
UAUCACAGCCAUAUCACCCUGCAGCUCAAGAUCGGUUACUCACUGAAGCUAAGCAAGGCUGAGCCUGGUCAGUACCUGGAUGCGAGACCACAUGGGAAAACUAGGUAGCUGUUGGAA